RNAcentral lists this ribosomal RNA (229 nucleotides) under uncultured bacterium. RNAcentral's name for it is "partial 16S ribosomal RNA". It matches the Rfam family "Bacterial small subunit ribosomal RNA", at positions 568 to 796 of the family's 1533-position model. The record is from RNAcentral.
UGCGUAGGCGGCCUGACAAGUCAGAGGUGAAAUGCACGAGCUUAACUGGUGAAUUGCCUUUGAAACUGUCAAGCUAGAAUUAUGUUGAGGUUAGCGGAAUGAGUCAUGUAGCGGUGAGAUGCAUAGAUAUGACUUAGAACACCAAUUGCGUAGGCAGCUAGCUAGGCAUAUAUUGACGCUGAGGCACGAAAGCGUGGGGAGCGAACAGGAUUAGAUACCCUGGUAGUCC